RNAcentral lists this microRNA (22 nucleotides) under Bos taurus (domestic cattle). RNAcentral's name for it is "bta-miR-2285ao". Lineage: Eukaryota; Metazoa; Chordata; Mammalia; Artiodactyla; Bovidae. The record is from miRBase by way of RNAcentral.
AAACCCAGACGAACUUUUUGGC